GAUGAAGAACGUAGCGAAAUGCGAUAAGUAAUGUGAAUUGCAGAAUUCAGUGAAUCAUCGAAUCUUUGAACGCACCUUGCGCCCUUUGGCCAUUCCGAAGGGCAUGCCUGUUUGAGUAUCGUGAACACCUCAACUCUCAUGGUUUGCCAUGAUGAGCUUGGACUUUGGGGGUUUUGCUGGCCUUUGGUCGGCUCCUCUCAAACGGAUCAGCUUUCCAGUGUUUGGUGGCGUCACGGGUGUGAUAACUAUCUACGCCUGUGGUUUUCUGCCAGAUAACCUUCAGCGAUGGAGGUUCGCUGGGGCUCAUAAAUGUCUCUCUUCAGUGGAGACAGCUUUUUGGACGUUUGAUCUCAAAUCAGGUAGGACUACCCGCUGAACUUAAGCAUAUCAAUAAGCGGAGGA
This 402-nucleotide unclassified non-coding RNA is filed under the name soil metagenome. RNAcentral's name for it is "partial contains 5.8S ribosomal RNA, internal transcribed spacer 2, and large subunit ribosomal RNA". The stretch from base 1 to 121 matches the Rfam family "5.8S ribosomal RNA", at positions 35 to 154 of the family's 154-position model. The record is from RNAcentral.